Molecule: ribosomal RNA, 501 nt
Filed under: uncultured Atopobium sp.
Lineage: Bacteria; Bacillati; Actinomycetota; Coriobacteriia; Coriobacteriales; Atopobiaceae
Description: bacterial SSU rRNA
Rfam family: Bacterial small subunit ribosomal RNA
Source: RNAcentral
GAUGAACGCUGGCGGCGCGCCUAACACAUGCAAAGUCGAACGGUUAAAGCAUCUUCGGAUGUGUAUAAAGUGGCGAACGGCUGAGUAACACGUGGCAACCUGCCCUUUGCACUGGGAUAGCCUCGGGAAACCGAGGUUAAUACCGGAUACUCCAUAUUUGUCGCAUGGGGCGAAUAUGGGGAAAAGCUCCGGGCGGGCAAAAGGGAUGGGGCCCCGCGGGCCUGGUUAGCUAGUUGGUGGGGUAGUGGCCUACCAAGGCAAUGAUGGGUAGCCGGGUUGAGAGACCGACCGGCCAGAUUGGGACUGAGACACGGCCCAGACUCCUACGGGAGGCAGCAGUGGGGAAUCUUGCACAAUGGGCGAAAGCCUGAUGCAGCGACGCCGCGUGCGGGAUGAAGGCCUUCGGGUUGUAAACCGCUUUCAGCAGGGGACGAGGCCGCAAGGUGACGGUACCUGCAGAAGAAAGCCCCGGCUAACUACGUGCCAGCAGCCGCGGUAAAU